CCUACGGGAGGCAGCAGUGGGGAAUAUUGCGCAAUGGGCGAAAGCCUGACGCAGCGACGCCGCGUGAGGGAUGAAGGUCUUCGGAUCGUAAACCUCUGUCAGCAGGGAAGAACGGUCACUGUGCUAAUCAGCAGUGAAUUGACGGUACCUGCAAAGGAAGCACCGGCUAACUCCGUGCCAGCAGCCGCGGUAAUACGGAGGGUGCGAGCGUUAAUCGGAAUUACUGGGCGUAAAGCGCUCGUAGGCGGUAUGUCAAGUCAAUGGUGAAAUCCCCGCGCUCAACGUGGGAACUGCCUUUGAAACUGGCAAACUGGAGUGGGGGAGAGGAGAGUGGAAUUCCAGGGGUAGGAGUGAAAUGCGUAGAUAUCUGGAGGAACAUCAGUGGCGAAGGCGACUAUCUGGCACAUAACUGACGCUGAGGAGCGAAAGCGUGGGUAGCAAACAGGAUUAGAUACCCCAGUAGUC
This 465-nucleotide ribosomal RNA is filed under the name uncultured bacterium. RNAcentral describes it as "partial 16S ribosomal RNA". It matches the Rfam family "Bacterial small subunit ribosomal RNA", at positions 338 to 795 of the family's 1533-position model. The record is from RNAcentral.